RNAcentral lists this ribosomal RNA (2961 nucleotides) under Triticum aestivum (bread wheat). RNAcentral describes it as "partial small subunit ribosomal RNA". The record is from RNAcentral. Lineage: Eukaryota; Viridiplantae; Streptophyta; Magnoliopsida; Poales; Poaceae.
AUGGCCCGUUCAUACAUUCCGGCCAUGCUGAUGGCCACCAGCUUGCUGCUCAUGGCUGCUUCAUCUCCUGCCCCGAGCAACAACACCGACCUUGCCGCGCUGCUGGCUUUCAAAUCCCAGCUCUCCGACCCUUUGGCUAUCAUUGCCAAUAACUGGACAACCGGUGCGUCCUUCUGCACCUGGAUCGGUGUGUUGUGCAGCCGGCGUCAGCACCAGCGUGUCACCGCUUUGGAGCUGCCGGACAUUCCCCUCCAAGAAGAGCUCAGCCCUCACCUCGGUAACCUCUCUUUCCUCCACACCCUUAACCUGACCAAUACGAACCUCACCGGUUCUAUCCCAGCUGAUCUUGGAAGAUUAGCCCGUCUUAGGUACCUUGAUCUUGGCCACAAUAGCCUGUCGGAUACAAUCCCGUCUACCGUUGGAAACCUCACCAGGCUUCAGUUUCUGGUCCUAAAUUUCAACCAGCUCUUGGGGCAGAUCCCCGGUGAGGUGCGAAACAUGCGUAGCCUUAGCUACUUCUCUCUCGGAAUAAAUUCCAUUACUGGCCUCAUGCCGAAUUUUUCAUUUGACAGCACGCCUUCACUGAGACACAUAUACAUUAACAACAACAGUCUAUCCGGCCCAAUACCUUCUGGUAUUGGCUCCUUGCUCAUGCUCCAGGUUCUUUACUUGAGGCGUAACCAGCUCUCCGGUCCAAUACCUCCUACCAUCUUCAACAUGUCUAGGAUUGUUGACUUGCGUCUGGGGAACAACAAUCUAACAGGUCAUAUACCUAGCAACAGAAGCUUUAGUCUCCCCAUGUUGCAAAUAUUUGAUCUCUACCGGAACAACUUCGGGGGUCAAAUUCCAUUGGGCCUUGCAUCAUGCCAGCAUCUUAGGAUACUUACCAUUCCUGGAAAUCUAUUCGUGGAUGUGGUGCCAACAUGGCUGGCUACGCUACCAGAGCUUACGGCGAUUUCUAUGGGAGGCAAUGACCUCGUUGGCCUGAUCCCGCCUGUGCUCGGCAAUCUCACCAUGCUCAGCGUACUUGACAUCGCAAACUCCAACUUAAGCGGAGAUAUUCCCGUGGAAUUAGGAGAACUGAGACAACUCAAUUAUCUGCACCUUUCGCACAAUCAACUAACAGGCCCCUUCCCGGAAUUUCUAGGAAAUUCGACAAAAAUCCUUUGCAAUUGUCGCCAACUUCAAUACCUCACCAUAUCAAAUAAUCUUUUCACUGGGAGUAUUCCCAACUAUUUUGGUAACCUCUCGACUAACCUGGUAGUAUUUGAAGCAUUGAAUAACAAUUUGGUUGGUGGGCUUCCAGAAACACUGUCAAAUCUUAGUAGUCUUCGUAAGAUAAACUUUGCCAACAACCAUCUUACCAAAGAAAUACCAGAAACCCUCUCUAAGUUGGAGAAUCUCCAAGCACUUGAUCUCUCAGGAAAUAGAAUGGUUGGCCCAAUCCCUGUACAAAUUGGUAUGCUGAGAAGUAUUGUAGAGUUACAACUCUGGGACAAUAUGUUAUCUGGCUCCAUACCAGAUGCCAUGGGCGACCUCACCAUGUUAGAGUACACUUCAUUUUCUUAUAACCGUUUAUCUUCGUCAAUUCCAUCAAGCUUAUUUUAUCGUAGUAACCUUAUCCAACUAGAUCUGUCCCAUAAUUCCCUAACCGGUACAUUACCUUCUGAUCUUAGCCAUAUGCAAACUAUGGACUGGAUAGAUCUUUCUGGUAACCUCUUGUCUGGUAGCCUUCCAAGUUCAUUUGGACAGGUUGCCAUGUUAUUAACCUACCUAAAUCUUUCGCACAACUCAUUUAAGGGUUUAGUCCCAAACUCUUUCGGCCGCUUAACCAACUUAGAAACAUUGGACCUAUCGUCAAACAACCUUUCAGGUACAAUACCAGACUACCUCGCCAACUUCACCUACCUUUCUUCUCUGAACCUCUCCUUCAAUGGGUUAGAAGGGCAAAUACCAAAUGGAGGUGUUUUCUCAAACCUCACCUUGCAAUCUUUGAUGGGGAAUGUUGGGCUAUGUGGUGCUCCUCGUCUAGGACUGUCACCGUGUCCGCACAAGUCUCACUUGACUUAUAGUCGACACACCCUCAAGUUUAUACUCCCGGUUGCCAUCAUUGGAGUUGGUGCAUUUGCAACCACCAUGUACCUAAUGGUCAGCAAGAAAAAUAAGAAACAAUAUUAUGGUACGGCUUCUACUAGCAUGACUGAUCUGAUCAGCCAUAGCUUGGAUUUCAAGGCACUGCUCCUUCAGUACAUGCCCAAUGGUAGCAUGGAGACACACUUGCACAACGAAAUAAGGGAACCACUAAGAUUCAUCCAGAGAUUGGACAUUAUGCUUGCCGUGUCAGAGGCAAUGGAGUACCUGCACCAUCAUCAUUUCCAAGUUGUCUUGCACUGCGAUCUGAAGCCUAGCAACGUGUUGUUCGAUGACGACAUGACGGCGCAUGUUGCCGACUUUGGCAUUGCAAAGUUACUUCUACAUGAUGACAACUCCAUGGUUUCAGCAAGUAUGCCGGGGACAAUUGGGUACAUGGCCCCUGAGCUAGCAUUCAUGGGAAAGGCAUCACGAAAGACUGACAUGUUCAGCUUCGGGAUCAUGUUGCUUGAAGUCUUCACAGGGAAGAGGCCCACGGACGCUAUGUUCGUCGGGGAAUCUAGCCUCAGGUGGUGGGUUUCGCAAGCAUUUCCAGCAAAGCUCGUUGAUGUUUUGGAUGAGAAGCUACAACAGGGUGAAGAAAUGAACCUUGCCUUCCAUCACCAAACAAUUAAUACUUCGUCGCCGUCAUCCUCCAUUGCCUGCAAUGGAAACUUUCUUGUGUCGAUAUUCGAACUGGGUCUAGAGUGUUCGGACGACUCUCCUAGUCGGAGAGCAAGCAUGAGCGACGUGGUCGUGAGGCUCAAAAACAUUAAGAAGGAUUACUUUGCUUUCAUGGUGGCAACUCAAAGCGCGCAACAAAGUUCAUGA